RNAcentral lists this ribosomal RNA (369 nucleotides) under uncultured organism. Its description in RNAcentral is "bacterial SSU rRNA". It matches the Rfam family "Bacterial small subunit ribosomal RNA", at positions 526 to 896 of the family's 1533-position model. The record is from RNAcentral.
CGGAGGGUGCAAGCGUUAUCCGGAUUCACUGGGUUUAAAGGGUGCGUAGGCGGGCAGGUAAGUCCGUGGUGAAAUCUCUGAGCUUAACUCAGAAACUGCCAUGGAUACUAUUUGUCUUGAAUAUUGUGGAGGUAAGCGGAAUAUGUCAUGUAGCGGUGAAAUGCUUAGAUAUGACAUAGAACACCAAUUGCGAAGGCAGCUUACUACACAGUUAUUGACGCUGAGGCACGAGAGCGUGGGGAUUCAAACAGGAUUAGAUACCCUGGUAGUCCACGCCCUAAACGAUGAUUACUCGACAUCAGCGAUACACUGUUGGUGUCUGAGCGAAAGCAUUAAGUAAUCCACCUGGGAAGUACGAUCGCAAGAUUG